RNAcentral lists this ribosomal RNA (570 nucleotides) under uncultured bacterium. RNAcentral describes it as "bacterial SSU rRNA". It matches the Rfam family "Bacterial small subunit ribosomal RNA", at positions 102 to 660 of the family's 1533-position model. The record is from RNAcentral.
ACGGGUGAGUAACACGUAAGGAACCUGCCUCAAGGAUUGGGGUAACUCCGAGAAAUCGGAGCUAAUACCGGAUAGUUCAACGGACCGCAUGGUCCGCUGAUGAAAGGCGCUCCGGCGUCACCUUGAGAUGGCCUUGCGGUGCAUUAGCUAGUUGGUGGGGUAACGGCCCACCAAGGCGACGAUGCAUAGCCGACCUGAGAGGGUGAUCGGCCACACUGGGACUGAGACACGGCCCAGACUCCUACGGGAGGCAGCAGUAGGGAAUCUUCCACAAUGGACGAAAGUCUGAUGGAGCAACGCCGCGUGAGUGAUGAAGGUUUUCGGAUCGUAAAACUCUGUUGUAAGGGAAGAACACGUACGAGAGGAAAUGCUCGUACCUUGACGGUACCUUACGAGAAAGCCACGGCUAACUACGUGCCAGCAGCCGCGGUAAUACGUAGGUGGCAAGCGUUGUCCGGAAUUAUUGGGCGUAAAGCGCGCGCAGGCGGCCUUUUAAGUCUGAUGUGAAAGCCCCCGGCUCAACCGGGGAGGGCCAUUGGAAACUGGAAGGCUUGAGUACAGAAGAGAAGA